This 253-nucleotide ribosomal RNA is filed under the name uncultured bacterium. RNAcentral describes it as "partial 16S ribosomal RNA". It matches the Rfam family "Bacterial small subunit ribosomal RNA", at positions 524 to 776 of the family's 1533-position model. The record is from RNAcentral.
UACGUAGGGGGCAAGCGUUGUCCGGAAUCAUUGGGCGUAAAGAGCGUGUAGGCGGCCCGAUAAGUCCGCUGUGAAAGUCCAGGGCUCAACCCUGGGAUGCCGGUGGAUACUGUCGGGCUUGAGUCCGGAAGAGGAGUGUGGAAUUCCUGGUGUAGCGGUGAAAUGCGCAGAUAUCAGGAGGAACACCAAUGGCGAAGGCAGCACUCUGGGACGUGACUGACGCUGAGACGCGAAAGCGUGGGGAGCAAACAGG